CACCCCUGGCAAUGGGCAGAGAGGCACCUUGUUGGUGGUGUUGUUCUCAUAUCAGCCAGGGGCAGAGCAGAGGGCGGUCCUUUGUUCAUCCUAGCUUGAUGCCUGGCUUGGUGGCCAAAGCUGUUUCAUGCCUAGGGCACAUAA
RNAcentral lists this small nucleolar RNA (144 nucleotides) under Mus pahari (shrew mouse). RNAcentral's name for it is "snoRNA (MGP_PahariEiJ_G0034338.1)". It matches the Rfam family "Small nucleolar RNA SNORA48". From Rfam's summary of the family: The snoRNA ACA 48 has been identified to guide pseudouridylation of the residue U3797 in the 28S rRNA subunit. Its host gene EIF4A1 (eukaryotic translation initiation factor 4A1) is shared with U67 and snoRNA mgU6-77 The record is from RNAcentral. Lineage: Eukaryota; Metazoa; Chordata; Mammalia; Rodentia; Muridae.